Molecule: ribosomal RNA, 317 nt
Filed under: uncultured bacterium
Lineage: Bacteria
Description: bacterial SSU rRNA
Rfam family: Bacterial small subunit ribosomal RNA
Source: RNAcentral
GAUGAACGCUGGCGGUAUGCCUAACACAUGCAAGUCGUACGAGAGUUUUUAACUCUAGUGGCGGACGGGUGAGUAACACGUGAGAAUUUGCCUUUAGGAGGGGGGACAACAAAUCGGAAACGAAUGCUAAUACCCCAUAUGCUUUCGAGUGAAAUGGAUUUUAUCCGCCUAGAGAGAAGCUCGCGGCUGAUUAGCUUGUUGGUAAGGUAAGAGCUUACCAAGGCGACGAUCAGUAUCUGGUUUGAGAGGACGAUCAGACACACUGGAACUGAGACACGGUCCAGACUCCUACGGGAGGCAGCAGUGGGGAAUUUACG